GUCGAGCGGAUGAAGAGAGCUUGCUCUCUGAUUCAGCGGCGGACGGGUGAGUAAUGCCUAGGAAUCUGCCUGGUAGUGGGGGACAACGUCUCGAAAGGGACGCUAAUACCGCAUACGUCCUACGGGAGAAAGCAGGGGACCUUCGGGCCUUGCGCUAUCAGAUGAGCCUAGGUCGGAUUAGCUAGUUGGUGAGGUAAUGGCUCACCAAGGCGACGAUCCGUAACUGGUCUGAGAGGAUGAUCAGUCACACUGGAACUGAGACACGGUCCAGACUCCUACGGGAGGCAGCAGUGGGGAAUAUUGGACAAUGGGCGAAAGCCUGAUCCAGCCAUGCCGCGUGUGUGAAGAAGGUCUUCGGAUUGUAAAGCACUUUAAGUUGGGAGGAAGGGCAGUAAGCGAAUACCUUGCUGUUUUGACGUUACCGACAGAAUAAGCACCGGCUAACUCUGUGCCAGCAGCCGCGGUAAUACAGAGGGUGCAAGCGUUAAUCGGAAUUACUGGGCGUAAAGCGCGCGUAGGUGGUUUGUUAAGUUGAAUGUGAAAACCCCGGGCUCAACCUGGGAACUGCAUCCAAAACUGGCAAGCUAGAGUAGGGCAGAGGGUGGUGGAAUUUCCUGUGUAGCGGUGAAAUGCGUAGAUAUAGGAAGGAACACCAGUGGCGAAGGCGACCACCUGG
This 676-nucleotide ribosomal RNA is filed under the name uncultured Pseudomonas sp. RNAcentral describes it as "bacterial SSU rRNA". It matches the Rfam family "Bacterial small subunit ribosomal RNA", at positions 61 to 732 of the family's 1533-position model. Lineage: Bacteria; Pseudomonadati; Pseudomonadota; Gammaproteobacteria; Pseudomonadales; Pseudomonadaceae. The record is from RNAcentral.